Molecule: ribosomal RNA, 474 nt
Filed under: uncultured soil bacterium
Lineage: Bacteria
Description: bacterial SSU rRNA
Rfam family: Bacterial small subunit ribosomal RNA
Source: RNAcentral
AGGAUGAACGCUAGCGGCGUGCCUAACACAUGCAAGUCGAACGUGAAGGGGUACUUGUAUCCCUGAAAGUGGCGGACGGGUGAGUAAGACGUAGGUGACCUGCCUUGGAGUGGGGGAUAACCCUUGGAAACGAUGGCUAAUACCGCAUGACGUUGUUGGAUUGGGAAAUUUGACAACCAAAGCUCAGGCGCUUGAAGAGGGGCCUACGGCCGAUUAGCUAGUUGGUGGGGUAAGAGCCUACCAAGGCGAUGAUCGGUAGCUGGUCUGAGAGGACGAUCAGCCACACGGGAACUGAGACACGGUCCCGACUCCUACGGGGGGCAGCAGUGAGGAAUAUUCGGCAAUGGGGGGAACCCUGACCGAGCAACGCCGCGUGGAGGAUGACGGUUUUCGGAUUGUAAACUCCUUUUCUGGGGGAAGAGCAAGGACGGUACCCCAGGAAUCAGUCACGGCUAACUACGUGCCAGCAGCCGC